GACGAACGCUGGCGGCGUGCUUAACACAUGCAAGUCGAACGGAAAGGCCCUGCUUUUGUGGGGUGCUCGAGUGGCGAACGGGUGAGUAACACGUGAGUAACCUGCCCUUGACUUUGGGAUAACUUCAGGAAACUGGGGCUAAUACCGGAUAGGAGCUCCUGCUGCAUGGUGGGGGUUGGAAAGUUUCGGCGGUUGGGGAUGGACUCGCGGCUUAUCAGCUUGUUGGUGGGGUAGUGGCGUACCAAGGCUUUGACGGGUAGCCGGCCUGAGAGGGUGACCGGGCACAAUGGUACUGAGAGACGGACCAGUAUCCAACGGGCGGCAGCGGUGGGAAAUAUUGCACAAUGGGCGGAAGCGUGAGGCGGCAACGUCGGGUGCGGGAUGCCGGCUUUCGGGGUGUAAACCGCUUUCGCCGGUGACGAAGCGUGAGUGACGGUAAUGGGUAAGGAAGCACCGGCUAACUACGUG
RNAcentral lists this ribosomal RNA (468 nucleotides) under uncultured bacterium. RNAcentral's name for it is "partial 16S ribosomal RNA". It matches the Rfam family "Bacterial small subunit ribosomal RNA", at positions 28 to 507 of the family's 1533-position model. The record is from RNAcentral.